CUCAAUUUCCUUGAACUUGAUAUCAUCACAAAAGAUGAAGCUCUAAGAGGUUUGUGGUCUUUAGCCCUUGAUUUCUGCGGAUAAAGCAGCUUGAUUCUCUCUUUUUUAGCUACAUGCAUAUAAAACAAGUCUCGAAUGUGUCCCCACAUGCAUAUAAAACAAGUCGCACUUAUUUCUGUGGAUAAAAGCAGCUUGAUUCUCUCUUUUUUAGCUACAUGCAUAUUAAACAAGUCUUGAAUGUGUCCCCCACAUGCAUAUAAAACAAGUCUAGAAUGUGUCCCCCACCCCCCCAAAUAUAUUAUUGUACACUCCAAUAUGUUAAUCAGGCUUACCGCUUACUAUUACUGUUGUGAUGUUGAGAGUAAUAAACCCCAAGUUUUUGUAAAAGGGAUGGAUGUAGAAGGAAAAACCAUGUGUUUUAGAGUGGAAGAGGAACUAAUAAGCUCAAUGGAUGUGUUAUGUGGAACAGAGGGGAGGUGAUAGAUCAAACACUACUAAUUUGGAUUAUUGUUUUUUAAAAAUGGUAAAGAACAAUACUAAUUGGACUAUUAGAAGCUAUUUGGCUGAUUAUCUAACAAUAGUAAUUGGACUAUUAGAAGCUCUUUGGCUGAUUAUCUUUCUCAAAGUGGAUAGUUUUCGUUGGUUGACACCAAGUAAGGUUAAUUAGCCAUCUCUUUUGGAUUUAGUAGUCCUUGGGUUGACAUUUGUUGAUGAAUGGUGAACACAAGACGGAAUUCCAAGAGUAGAUGCAACAUUGCUGGCUGGAAUUAGCUAAUAACUAUUCCAGUGGUAGCACGUGGGUUCAUUAUGCUCAGGUAUCCGGUAGGCCCUUUUUGCUUCAGAAGACACCAGCUGACUUAUUUGUCUAUUUUGAAAUGUCAUGCUUGGUGUCUUGCAUUGACUGUUUUUUGGGUAAAGACAGUAUUCCUUCCUUGAUUUUUAAAUUUUUGAAGGAUAAAGCGAGUUUAUUCAUCCCGUCUACUAAUUGUUAGUAUACUAUUUGCACUCCAUGAUGGAAUAGGACUAAACUGAUUUCCAUUCUUAACCCGAUCCACUGAGAUAAAAUGAUGUCUCUUCAAGGUGAUGUAGUCUGCAUUGCUGUAAUCUGUCAUAUCUGUAAGAUUUUCUCUGAUCAACUUACCAUUUCAUAAUUUCAUUAAAGUCCCUUUUUUGGGAUUAAAUCUUGAAUUCUUU
RNAcentral lists this long non-coding RNA (1194 nucleotides) under Nicotiana benthamiana. RNAcentral's name for it is "long non-coding RNA (NBEN_LNC032435)". Lineage: Eukaryota; Viridiplantae; Streptophyta; Magnoliopsida; Solanales; Solanaceae. The record is from RNAcentral.